AAAGAUUGGCCUUGUAUGGGAAAGUGAGGACUUUGCCUAUCAGAAAGUCAAGCCAGGAUCUGAAAUAAUGAGCCCCCAGGUUGUGUGUAAAAAGAUGCGUAAUGUCAGUCUACCCAGUAAUUAUUUCGGCUGUAAUUCACAGGCUCCCGUACGGAAUCUGCCUCACUGCUGAACCUACAGGUAGGUACAGAGGCUAGCAGGUGAUUAUAGAG
Pelobates cultripes (western spadefoot toad) is the source of this 212-nucleotide non-coding RNA. The record is from the annotation of a GenBank genome assembly. NCBI's taxonomy places the organism in Eukaryota, Metazoa, Chordata, Amphibia, Anura, Pelobatidae.